Molecule: ribosomal RNA, 163 nt
Filed under: Glyceria maxima
Lineage: Eukaryota; Viridiplantae; Streptophyta; Magnoliopsida; Poales; Poaceae
Description: 5.8S ribosomal RNA
Rfam family: 5.8S ribosomal RNA
About the family: 5.8S ribosomal RNA (5.8S rRNA) is a component of the large subunit of the eukaryotic ribosome.
Source: RNAcentral
ACACGACUCUCGGCAACGGAUAUCUCGGCUCUCGCAUCGAUGAAGAACGUAGCGAAAUGCGAUACCUGGUGUGAAUUGCAGAAUCCCGUGAACCAUCGAGUAUUUGAACGCAAGUUGCGCCCGAGGCCACCUGGCCGAGGGCACGCCUGCCUGGGCGUCACGC